UUUAAGUGCAUUUUGUAUCCACAACUCCUCUUAAAGUAGGGACACGUUUUAAAUCAGAUUUUCUAAAAUUUUAUAGUACUUAAUGGUAUAGAGCCUGCCUUUUGUAUAUUUGGAUUCAAAUGCUUUUUGAGGUUUCCUUAUUUAUGUAUUUUUUUUCUAUUGCAAAUGAAAUCUUUACUUUAUCCUUAAUUCAUUUGUCUUUUAGAAGAAAACUUUUGUUAAAGAUAAAUCAUAUAAUCUCUGCUUUAAACAACCAUCGAAACAUUGUAAUAAAUCAUAAUUUAAAGAAUUAAGUUGAGAUUUUGUAAAUGCCAAAAUUAUAUUUAAGAUAUUUUAUAGGAUUUUUGCACUAGUAUUGAGGAAUCUUGUCCUCGGUAGUAUAUGGUAUUGCACGAGCUAGUGAAUAUUUUGAUAUGUAUUACCAUAGAUUGGUAAAACUUCGAUUUGAAAAGACGAAAAAAAAAUUUCGUAAAAAAUAAUCAUGUUAUUUUUGUUCAUAUCAAAAUAUUGUUUAUGUUAAUUUCACAUGAAAUUGAUGCUAUAUUCUAAUGGCCAAUCUAACUGUUGUGUAAACAAAUGCAAUAUUCAUGUAUAAAGAUUUAUUGUAAAUAUCAUACUGAGGUUCGAUUCACCAAAAAAUCUUACGAAUAAAAAUACUUGUAAGUCAUUGACAUUUUAGUAUAACUUAUGAUCAAUUGUAAUCGUAAGAAUGUUGGUUAAAUGAGUCGCAGGACUUUUGUUAUUAUACAUUGUUUUUAGUUAUGAUUUGUGUAUUUCCCACCUAACCUAUUAUAUGCACAUGUAUGUAGAAAUGUAGUAGUACAUUUCAAACAGUAAACGUGUGUUUUUUUUUCCUUUCUGCAGAUUCAUUAUAGAUUCGAAUUUUGGUGGAUUGAGAAAAAAAAGUAUAAUUAUUGAUAAUGGAUUUCCAUGAGAAAAAAAAGUAUAAUUAUUGAUAAUG
This 961-nucleotide long non-coding RNA is filed under the name Mytilus galloprovincialis (Mediterranean mussel). The record is from RNAcentral. Lineage: Eukaryota; Metazoa; Mollusca; Bivalvia; Mytilida; Mytilidae.